This 74-nucleotide transfer RNA is filed under the name Kribbella sp. VKM Ac-2568. RNAcentral describes it as "tRNA-Met". It matches the Rfam family "tRNA". Rfam says of the family: Transfer RNA (tRNA) molecules are approximately 80 nucleotides in length. Their secondary structure includes four short double-helical elements and three loops (D, anti-codon, and T loops). Lineage: Bacteria; Bacillati; Actinomycetota; Actinomycetes; Propionibacteriales; Kribbellaceae. The record is from RNAcentral.
GCCAGGGUGGCGCAGCUGGCUAGCGCGCACCCCUCAUAAGGGUGAGGUCGCCGGUUCGAUCCCGGCCCCUGGUA